This is a non-coding RNA of Caenorhabditis elegans, 82 nucleotides long. NCBI's taxonomy places the organism in Eukaryota, Metazoa, Nematoda, Chromadorea, Rhabditida, Rhabditidae. The record is from Ensembl.
UACACGCGUCCACUAACACACACUAUCGAAGGAUGAGAAAAGAGUGGAAUUGGGAUGGAAUUGACGGAUGAGUCUGCUCAAU